This 344-nucleotide ribosomal RNA is filed under the name uncultured bacterium. Its description in RNAcentral is "partial 16S ribosomal RNA". It matches the Rfam family "Bacterial small subunit ribosomal RNA", at positions 338 to 699 of the family's 1533-position model. The record is from RNAcentral.
CCUACGGGUGGCAGCAGUGGGGAAUAUUGCACAAUGGGGGAAACCCUGAUGCAGCAACGCCGCGUGAGUGAAAAAGUAUUUCGGUCUGUAAAGCUCUAUCAGCAGGGAAGAAGAUGACGCUACCUGAUUAAGACGCCCCGGCUAACUACGUGCUAGCAGCCUCGGUAAUACGUAGGGGGCAAGCGUUAUCCGGAUUUGCGGGGUGUAAAGGGAGCGCAGAGGGUAGUGCAGGUCUGGAGUGAAAGCCCGGGGUCCAACCCCGGUACUGCUCUGGAAACUGUGCGGCUGGAGUACGGGAGGGGCAGGCGGAAUGUGUGGUGUAGCGGUGAAAUGCGUAGAUAUUA